UUCCGUAGGUGAACCUGCGGAAGGAUCAUUCGCACAUGCUCCAAACACAUUUCUGUGAACUUUUCUGUGGGGGCUUGUGUGGGGAUGUACAUUCUGGUUCCCCCAUGCAAGUUCUCGUGGGUGGUGGGUUGGAUGGGAUGUCAAGCAUACCUGUUCAUUCCCACUGCCACUGCGUACAGCAAUGCGACUUGAUGCGAGCUUUCUGUUUAUGGCUUUUGCCAUGUGCAGCUCACAACUUUCAGCGAUGGAUGUCUCGGUUCGAGCAACGAUGAAGGGCGCAGCGAAGUGCGAUAAGCAUUGUGAAUUGCAGAAUUCCGUGAACCGACAGGGACUUGAACGCAUAUUGUGCUUUUGGGAUAUCCCUAAAAGCAUGCCUGCUUCAGUGUCUAUUCUUUGUUGUUUCAGCAGCUGUUGGUACUAGCUGGCAUGCUGCUGCGAGCACUUGUGCCUCAAGAUGUUUGGCCCUUUGCUGGGGUAUCUCUGAGGCAUGCGAUUGACAAGGCUACGGUGUGACGGUCAGCUUACUGAGGCAUCUGUGUAUGCAGCUUGCUGCGGUCGUCUCAUCGUGAGGCUUGUUGUCACGAUCUGGUUUCACCAAGUGUUGAGACAUGAAGUUAGGU
RNAcentral lists this ribosomal RNA (620 nucleotides) under uncultured eukaryote. RNAcentral's name for it is "eukaryotic LSU rRNA". The stretch from base 234 to 388 matches the Rfam family "5.8S ribosomal RNA". The record is from RNAcentral.